CAGCAGCCGCGGUAAAACGGAGGGAGCUAGCGUUGUUCGGAAUUACUGGGCGUAAAGCGCGCGUAGGCGGUUACUCAAGUCAGAGGUGAAAGCCCGGGGCUCAACCCCGGAACUGCCUUUGAAACUAGGUGACUAGAAUCUUGGAGAGGUCAGUGGAAUUCCGAGUGUAGAGGUGAAAUUCGUAGAUAUUCGGAAGAACACCAGUGGCGAAGGCGACUGACUGGACAAGUAUUGACGCUGAGGUGCGAAAGCGUGGGGAGCAAACAGGAUUAGAUACCCCCGUAGUCCCUGUCUCUUAUAA
RNAcentral lists this ribosomal RNA (301 nucleotides) under uncultured bacterium. RNAcentral's name for it is "partial 16S ribosomal RNA". It matches the Rfam family "Bacterial small subunit ribosomal RNA", at positions 509 to 809 of the family's 1533-position model. The record is from RNAcentral.